GCUUUAAAUAAGGGAUCGAGCAGACCAAACUGGUUUAAUUGAACCGGACUGACAGGUUUAACUUAACAUACCAUCAAACCGGACCGGGUCUCACAUAGACCGAACCGGCCAAUCCUCACAGCCCUCCUCGCGAUUCAUGACUAGAUCCCCGCGAUGGCACGCGUUCUUCGGCUGUUGAGGAACUGCAACCUCGACGACGUUCGACCACACAGAGUGCGAAGCGUGCGGUGGCAGCCACUCCCUAGGGUACCUACACAGCGCAAUGGCGGAAAACACAAGGCAACGAUGAGACUAGAAUGACGAAGAAGAACCUAUCAAAGAGGUUUGAACUUACCACAAUGUUGAUUACGACGAUGAACCACCUCGACUGCGCCCGGGAGUGAAGCAGGCGAGCGGCGGGAAUCGAAAUGUCUUCACUCUGUUUGUUGCUGAUUUGUAAACGUCUAAGAAACUCUCUGCAGGAAAAAAAAGGACAUCCAAUCUUGUCUUUGCCAUCGUUUGCUGUCAAGACUCUUUACACUUGAAGCAAUUAUACAUCGAUUACAAGCAUGUGCGUAUUGGUCUGCUGGAGGAAACUUUGUUGGGGGAAAUUCUUGGUGCCGUAGUUCUGGCUGAAGGUCUGAUUGAGCCAGCUCUUGAAUCCAAGCCUGUAAAAAUCUUUGCGGAUAGUGAUGAAUCUCAAGAUGGCCAAACUGUCAUCUAUGAACCGAACAGCCUACUUUGAUCUAUUUGCAAAGCGG
Cucurbita moschata (crookneck pumpkin) is the source of this 740-nucleotide long non-coding RNA. RefSeq lists it as uncharacterized. The transcript has 2 exons. Lineage: Eukaryota; Viridiplantae; Streptophyta; Magnoliopsida; Cucurbitales; Cucurbitaceae. The record is from RefSeq and is a predicted model, not a curated record.